AGAGUUUGAUCAUGGCUCAGGAUGAACGCUGGCGGUAUGCCUAACACAUGCAAGUCGAACGAUGUCUUCGGACAUAGUGGCGGACGGGUGAGUAACGCGUGAGAAUCUGCCUCUAGGAUGGGGAUAACGGUUGGAAACGACCGCUAACACCCAAUAUGCCGUAAGGUGAAAAAUUUAUUGCCUGGAGAGGAGCUCGCGUCUGAUUAGCUAGUUGGUGGGGUAAGAGCUCACCAAGGCUUCGAUCAGUAGCUGGUCUGAGAGGAUGAGCAGCCACACUGGGACUGAGACACGGCCCAGACUCCUACGGGAGGCAGCAGUGGGGAAUUUUCCGCAAUGGGCGAAAGCCUGACGGAGCAAUACCGCGUGAGGGAGGAAUGCCUUUGGGUUGUAAACCUCUUUUCUCAGGGAAGAAGAUCUGACGGUACCUGAGGAAUAAGUAUCGGCUAACUCCGUGCCAGCAGCCGCGGUAAUACGGAGGAUGCAAGCGUUAUCCGGAAUCAUUGGGCGUAAAGCGUCCGCAGGUGGUUUCCAAAGUCUGCUGUUAAAGACUGGAGCUCAACUCCGGAACGGCGGUGGAAACUUGGAAACUAGAGUUCGGUAGGGGUAGCAGGAAUUCCCAGUGUAGCGGUGAAAUGCGUAGAUAUUGGGAAGAACAUCGGUGGCGAAGGCGUGCUACUGGACCGUAACUGACACUCAGGGACGAAAGCUAGGGGAGCGAAAGGGAUUAGAUACCCCUGUAGUCCUAGCUGUAAACGAUGGAAACUAGGUGUGGCUUGUAUCGACCC
RNAcentral lists this ribosomal RNA (785 nucleotides) under uncultured marine microorganism. Its description in RNAcentral is "bacterial SSU rRNA". It matches the Rfam family "Bacterial small subunit ribosomal RNA", at positions 8 to 838 of the family's 1533-position model. The record is from RNAcentral.